CAGGGGGUAGUUUAUACAAAAUACUAGCUUUGGGAGUUAGAGAAUAAACCCCCUGA
RNAcentral lists this transfer RNA (56 nucleotides) under Portunion sinensis. RNAcentral's name for it is "tRNA-Pro". Lineage: Eukaryota; Metazoa; Arthropoda; Malacostraca; Isopoda; Entoniscidae. The record is from RNAcentral. RNAcentral also lists the same sequence under 1 other name.